This 360-nucleotide ribosomal RNA is filed under the name uncultured bacterium. RNAcentral's name for it is "partial 16S ribosomal RNA". It matches the Rfam family "Bacterial small subunit ribosomal RNA", at positions 338 to 696 of the family's 1533-position model. The record is from RNAcentral.
CCUACGGGGUGCAGCAGUGAGGAAUAUUGGUCAAUGGCCGGAAGGCUGAACCAGCCAAGCCGCGUGAAGGACGAAGGUGCCAAGCAUUGUAAACUUCUUUUGUCAAGGGACAAAAUCAGGCUCGAGAGCCUGACCGAGGGUACUUGAAGAAAAAGCAUCGGCUAACUCCGUGCCAGCAGCCGCGGUAAUACGGAGGAUGCGAGCGUUAUCGGGAUUUAUUGGGGUUAAAGGGUGCGUAGGGGGGCUGUUAAGUCAGCGGUAAAAGCCCGGGGCUCAACCCCGGCGAGCCGUUGAAACUGGGUGUCUUGAGAUGUCGAGGGGUAUGCGGAAUGCGCAGUGUAGCGGUGAAAUGCUUAGAUA